UGCGGACGUGGUGGAAUUGGUAGACACCCCAGAUUUAGGUUCUGGUGAGUAUAUCUCGUGAGAGUUCGAGUCUCUCCGUCCGUAU
RNAcentral lists this transfer RNA (85 nucleotides) under Sheathia arcuata. RNAcentral's name for it is "tRNA-Leu". It matches the Rfam family "tRNA". From Rfam's summary of the family: Transfer RNA (tRNA) molecules are approximately 80 nucleotides in length. Lineage: Eukaryota; Rhodophyta; Florideophyceae; Batrachospermales; Batrachospermaceae. The record is from RNAcentral. RNAcentral also lists the same sequence under 2 other names.